AUCAGCUGUGUGCUGGUGUUUAUGUUUAACUGUUCAUACAUUAAUAUUUCAUGUUUAUACUGCUUUCCCCCCAGUAGUGUUAUAACCUAUGAUGUCAUAUCCUGUACAACAACAACUAGAGUUUGUAUCUAUUGAAAGGCUGGGACUCACUCUACACCCCACCAAAACUCAACAUGACUAGGGACAUUAUUUCAUUGAUUCUGUUACUGCACUUGAGCCAAGGCACUAUGGGUGGGGAUGAUGUUGUUCAAGAGCCUAAAAUUCUGUGGGAACAAAAGGGGAAAUCUGCUCAUAUGAACUGCACACACAGUAAGGAUUCAACUUACAGACUGAUGUACUGGUACCGCCAGCGUCCAGGAGAGACUAUGAGACUCGUAGCAUUCACAACCUCUUACACCGAACCAGAAUAUGGAGAUUCUGAGAAAAAUAAAUUUUUGGCUAAUAAAACAGUUCCUGAGAAUGGAUCUCUAGCUGUGAAGAAUUUGGAGCCGGAUGACAGUGCCAUAUAUUUCUGUUCAGUGAGCGAACACACAGUGAAUCAAACACAAGGCAGAGAUGUACAAAAACAGGUGCAUUAAAAUAAGAGAUGAAUACUGAUCAACAGGGGGCAGUGUGGUUCAACAAAUUUCCAGCCA
This is a non-coding RNA of Megalobrama amblycephala (Wuchang bream), 635 nucleotides long. The record is from the annotation of a RefSeq genome assembly. Lineage: Eukaryota; Metazoa; Chordata; Actinopteri; Cypriniformes; Xenocyprididae.